GACGAACGCUGGCGGCGUGCUUAACACAUGCAAGUCGAACGGAAAGGCCCUGCUUUUGUGGGGUGCUCGAGUGGCGAACGGGUGAGUAACACGUGAGUAACCUGCCCUUGACUUUGGGAUAACUUCAGGAAACUGGGGCUAAUACCGGAUAGGAGCUCCUGCUGCAUGGUGGGGGUUGGAAAGUUUCGGCGGUUGGGGAUGGACUCGCGGCUUAUCAGCUUGUUGGUGGGGUAGUGGCUUACCAAGGCUUUGACGGGUAGCCGGCCUGAGAGGGUGACCGGCCACAUUGGGACUGAGAUACGGCCCAGACUCCUACGGGAGGCAGCAGUGGGGAAUAUUGCACAAUGGGCGGAAGCCUGAUGCAGCAACGCCGCGUGCGGGAUGACGGCCUUCGGGUUGUAAACCGCUUUCGCCUGUGACGAAGCGUGAGUGACGGUAAUGGGUAAAGAAGCACCGGCUAACUACGUGCCAGCAGCCGCGGUGAUACGUAGGGUGCGAGCGUUGUCCGGAUUUAUUGGGCGUAAAGGGCUCGUAGGUGGUUGAUCGCGUCGGAAGUGUAAUCUUGGGGCUUAACCCUGAGCGUGCUUUCGAUGCGGGUUGACUUGAGGAAGGUAGGGGAGAAUGGAAUUCCUGGUGGAGCGGUGGAAUGUGCAGAUAUCAGGAGGAACACCAGUGGCGAAGGCGGUUCUCUGGGCCUUUCCUGACGCUGAGGAGCGAAAGCGUGGGGAGCGAACAGGCUUAGAUACCCUGGUAGUCCACGCUGUAAACGGUGGGUACUAGGUGUGGGGUCCAUUCCACGGGUUCCGUGCCGUAGCUAACGCUUUAAGUACCCCGCCUGGGGAGUACGGCCGCAAGGCUAAAACUCAAAGGAAUUGGCGGGGCCCCGCACAAGCGGCGGAGCAUGCGGAUUAAUUCGAUGCAACGCGUAGAACCUUACCUGGGUUUGACAUGGAUCGGGAGCGCUCAGAGAUGGGUGUGCCUCUUUUGGGGUCGGUUCACAGGUGGUGCAUGGCUGUCGUCAGCUCGUGUCGUGAGAUGUUGGGUUAAGUCCCGCAACGAGCGCAACCCUUGUUCACUGUUGCCAGCACGUUAUGGUGGGGACUCAGUGGAGACCGCCGGGGUCAACUCGGAGGAAGGUGGGGAUGACGUCAAGUCAUCAUGCCCCUUAUGUCCAGGGCUUCACGCAUGCUACAAUGGCUGGUACAGAGAGUGGCGAGCCUGUGAGGGUGAGCGAAUCUCGGAAAGCCGGUCUCAGUUCGGAUUGGGGUCUGCAACUCGACCUCAUGAAGUCGGAGUCGCUAGUAAUCGCAGAUCAGCAACGCUGCGGUGAAUACGUUCCCGGG
RNAcentral lists this ribosomal RNA (1343 nucleotides) under uncultured bacterium. RNAcentral's name for it is "16S ribosomal RNA". It matches the Rfam family "Bacterial small subunit ribosomal RNA", at positions 28 to 1378 of the family's 1533-position model. The record is from RNAcentral.